Molecule: transfer RNA, 85 nt
Filed under: Felis catus (domestic cat)
Lineage: Eukaryota; Metazoa; Chordata; Mammalia; Carnivora; Felidae
Rfam family: tRNA
About the family: Transfer RNA (tRNA) molecules are approximately 80 nucleotides in length. Their secondary structure includes four short double-helical elements and three loops (D, anti-codon, and T loops). Further hydrogen bonds mediate the characteristic L-shaped molecular structure. tRNAs have two regions of fundamental functional importance: the anti-codon, which is responsible for specific mRNA codon recognition, and the 3' end, to which the tRNAs corresponding amino acid is attached (by aminoacyl-tRNA synthetases). tRNAs cope with the degeneracy of the genetic code in two manners: having more than one tRNA (with a specific anti-codon) for a particular amino acid; and 'wobble' base-pairing, i.e. permitting non-standard base-pairing at the 3rd anti-codon position.
Source: Rfam by way of RNAcentral
GCCUGGAUGGCUCAGUCGGUUGAGCAUCCGACUUCAGCUCAGGUCAUGAUCUCACGGUUUGUGGGUUCGAGCCCCGCGUCGGGCU